UGGGGAAUAUUGCACAAUGGGCGCAAGCCUGAUGCAGCCAUGCCGCGUGUGUGAAGAAGGCCUUCGGGUUGUAAAGCACUUUCAGCGAGGAGGAAGGUGGUGGACUUAAUACGUUCAUCAAUUGACGUUACUCGCAGAAGAAGCACCGGCUAACUCCGUGCCAGCAGCCGCGGUAAUACGGAGGGUGCAAGCGUUAAUCGGAAUUACUGGGCGUAAAAGCGCACGCAGGCGGUUUGUUAAGUCAGAUGUGAAAUCCCCGGGCUCAACCUGGGAACUGCAUUUGAAACUGGCAAGCUAGAGUCUCGUAGAGGGGGGUAGAAAUUCCAGGUGUAGCGGUGAAAUGCGUAGAGAUCUGGAGGAAUACCGGUGGCGAAGGCGGCCCCCCUGGACGAAGAUUGACGCUCAGGCUGCGAAAGGCGUGGGGGCAGCAAAACAGGAUUAGAUACCCUGGUAGUCCACGCUGUAAACGAUGUCGAUUUGGAGGUUGUGCCCUUGAGGCGU
RNAcentral lists this ribosomal RNA (501 nucleotides) under uncultured bacterium. RNAcentral describes it as "partial 16S ribosomal RNA". It matches the Rfam family "Bacterial small subunit ribosomal RNA", at positions 355 to 840 of the family's 1533-position model. The record is from RNAcentral.